UUCUAGCCCUGAUAGCAGUGGAAAUCCUUUUAUUCGCCGCGGCGAAUAAAAGAUUGAAACGAAUAGCAGGUAAAAGC
This 77-nucleotide small RNA is filed under the name Flavobacterium glaciei. RNAcentral's name for it is "Flavo-1 RNA". It matches the Rfam family "Flavo-1 RNA". Lineage: Bacteria; Pseudomonadati; Bacteroidota; Flavobacteriia; Flavobacteriales; Flavobacteriaceae. The record is from RNAcentral.